RNAcentral lists this ribosomal RNA (455 nucleotides) under uncultured organism. RNAcentral's name for it is "partial 16S ribosomal RNA". It matches the Rfam family "Bacterial small subunit ribosomal RNA", at positions 330 to 801 of the family's 1533-position model. The record is from RNAcentral.
CGUACACUCCUGCGGGAGGCAGCAGUGGGGAAUAUUGGACAAUGGGCGCAAGCCUGAUCCAGCCAUGCCGCGUGAGUGAUGAAGGCCCUAGGGUUGUAAAGCUCUUUCACCGGUGAAGAUAAUGACGGUAACCGGAGAAGAAGCCCCGGCUAACUUCGGGCCAGCAGCCGCGGUAAUACGAAGGGGGCUAGCGUUGUUCGGAUUUACUGGGCGUAAAGCGCACGUAGGCGGACUAUUAAGUCAGGGGUGAAAUCCCGGGGCUCAACCCCGGAACUGCCUUUGAGACUGGUAGUCUUGAGUUCGAGAGAGGUGAGUGGAAUUCCGAGUGUAGAGGUGAAAUUCGUAGAUAUUCGGAGGAACACCAGUGGCGAAGGCGGCUCACUGGCUCGAUACUGACGCUGAGGUGCGAAAGCGUGGGGAGCAAACAGGAUUAGAAACCCGGGUAGUCCCAUGAU